RNAcentral lists this ribosomal RNA (898 nucleotides) under Parmacochlea fischeri. RNAcentral's name for it is "partial 16S ribosomal RNA". Lineage: Eukaryota; Metazoa; Mollusca; Gastropoda; Stylommatophora; Helicarionidae. The record is from RNAcentral.
AUAUUAUAAGUAAGUACUGUAAAGAAAAGUUAAAUUAAGAAUAGUUUUAUACCUUUUGCAUAAUGGUUUAAUAAUUAGUUACUUAAGGAUUUUUUUCCCGAAAUUAGAAGAUCUAAUGUUGUUAAAAUUUUAGUUACUAUAUAAUAUAAUGUUUCAAAAUUAUAAAUAUAAGCAAGAUUAGGGGUGAAAGGCUUACCAAUUCUAUUGAUAUCUGGAUUAAUUUUAAAUGUAUUUAGUACAGAAUAAUGUUUGAUUAUAGAAAUCUUAAGAUUUCUAUAAUCAUAGAAUAACACUUAAUAUAACUUUUUUUGAAUUAACCUUCUUAUAACUAAUAUUUACUAAUAAUUUUAAAGUGAAUUAAUCUAAAUUAUAAAAUUACAAAUAUUUAAAUUUUAAAGUAUAUAAAUUAUGUUAAAAUUAGUAUAAUAUUAUACUUUGUUUUUUAUAGGAACUCGGCAAAUUUAUUAUUCAUCUGUUUAUCAAAAACAUAGUUUUGUGUGGUGUAUACAAAGUGAAACCUGCCCAGUGACAUUUAUUUAACGGCCGCAGUACCUUGACUGUGCUAAGGUAGCAUAAUAAAUUGACUUUUAAUUGGAGCCUUGAAUGAAAGGAUAAUUGGAUAAUUUCUGUUUUUAAUUAAUUAUUUAUAAUUUACUUAAAAGGUGAAAAUUCCUUUAAAUAAAUACAAUAGACGAGAAGACCCUAGGAGUUUUAAAUUUUGUUGGGGCGACAAUAUAGCAUAUAAUUAACCUAUAUAAAAAUUAUAAAAUUUAACGAAUAGUUUUAAUAAUAAAUAAACUACCCUAGGGAUAACAGCAUAAUUUUAAAGAAAGUUUGUGACCUCGAUGUUGGACUAGGGACUUUUAAGGCUAACAGCGUAAUUGGUAGUUCUGUUCGA